This is a non-coding RNA of Triticum aestivum (bread wheat), 126 nucleotides long. NCBI's taxonomy places the organism in Eukaryota, Viridiplantae, Streptophyta, Magnoliopsida, Poales, Poaceae. The record is from Rfam.
CUUGUACUCCCUCCGUUCGAAAAAGUUUGUCUCGCAAAUGGAUAUAUCUAGCAUCAAAUUAGUGCUAAAUACAUUUAUUUGAGAGACAAGUUCUAGACAAGGUUUUUCGAACUGAGGGAGUAGUGA